Molecule: ribosomal RNA, 405 nt
Filed under: Salmonella enterica subsp. enterica serovar Oranienburg
Lineage: Bacteria; Pseudomonadati; Pseudomonadota; Gammaproteobacteria; Enterobacterales; Enterobacteriaceae
Description: bacterial LSU rRNA
Rfam family: Bacterial large subunit ribosomal RNA
Source: RNAcentral
CAUCACAUCCUGGGGCUGAAGUAGGUCCCAAGGGUAUGGCUGUUCGCCAUUUAAAGUGGUACGCGAGCUGGGUUUAGAACGUCGUGAGACAGUUCGGUCCCUAUCUGCCGUGGGCGCUGGAGAACUGAGGGGGGCUGCUCCUAGUACGAGAGGACCGGAGUGGACGCAUCACUGGUGUUCGGGUUGUCAUGCCAAUGGCACUGCCCGGUAGCUACAUGCGGAAGAGAUAAGUGCUGAAAGCAUCUAAGCACGAAACUUGCCCCGAGAUGAGUUCUCCCUGAGACUUUAGGUCUCCUGAAGGAACGUUGAAGACGACGACGUUGAUAGGCCGGGUGUGUAAGCGCAGCGAUGCGUUGAGCUAACCGGUACUAAUGAACCGUGAGGCUUAACCUUACAACGCCGAAG